AGAGUUUGAUCCUGGCUCAGAACGAACGUUGGCGGCAGGCUUAACACAUGCAAGUCGGAGGUGAACCGGGACUUCGGUCCCGCGGAAACUGGCGCACGGGUGAGUAACGCGUGGGAAUCUACCCCGGGGUGGGGAAUAACCGCUGGAAACGGCGGCCAAUACCGCAUACGCCUUGAGAGGGAAAGCUUUAUGCGCCCUGGGAUGAGCCCGCGUCGGAUUAGCUUGUUGGUGAGGUAACGGCUCACCAAGGCUUCGAUCCGUAGCUGGUCUGAGAGGAUGAUCAGCCACACUGGGACUGAGACACGGCCCAGACUCCUACGGGAGGCAGCAGUGGGGAAUAUUGGACAAUGGGGGCAACCCUGAUCCAGCCAUGUCGCGUGCGUGAAGAAGGCCUUAGGGUUGUAAAGCGCUUUCAGCGGGGAAGAUGAUGACGGCACCCGCACAAGAAGCCCCGGCUAACUCCGUGCCAGCAGCCGCGGUAAUACGGAGGGGGCAAACGUCGUUCGGAAUUACUGGGCGCCAAGGGUGCGUAUGCCGAUUAUCCAGUCAGAGGUGAAAGCCCUGGGCUCCACCUAGGAACUGCCUUUGAAACUGACACCCUUGACUCCCAGAGAAGAGGGCCGAAUUCCCUGUGGUAAAGGGAAAAUUCGCACACUUUUGGGAGAACCUCCGUGGCGAAGGCGGCCAUCUGGCUGGUUA
This 699-nucleotide ribosomal RNA is filed under the name uncultured bacterium. Its description in RNAcentral is "bacterial SSU rRNA". It matches the Rfam family "Bacterial small subunit ribosomal RNA", at positions 8 to 739 of the family's 1533-position model. The record is from RNAcentral.